GUCUUAAUUGGGCGUUAAGUUGCAGGGUAUAGACCCGAAACCCGGUGAUCUAGCCAUGGGCAGGUUGAAGGUUGGGUAACACUAACUGGAGGACCGAACCGACUAAUGUUGAAAAAUUAGCGGAUGACCUGUGGCUGGGGGUGAAAGGCCAAUCAAACCGGGAGAUAGCUGGUUCUCCCCGAAAGCUAUUUAGGUAGCGCCUCGUGAAUUCAUCUCCGGGGGUAGAGCACUGUUUCGGCUAGGGGGCCAUCCCGGCUUACCAACCCGAUGCAAACUGCGAAUACCGGAGAAUGUUAUCACGGGAGACACACGGCGGGUGCUAACGUCCGUCGUGAAGAGGGAAACAACCCAGACCGCCAGCUAAGGUCCCAAAGUCAUGGUUAAGUGGGAAACGAUGUGGGAAGGCCCAGACAGCCAGGAUGUUGGCUUAGAAGCAGCCAUCAUUUAAAGAAAGCGUAAUAGCUCACUGGUCGAGUCGGCCUGCGCGGAAGAUGUAACGGGGCUAAACCAUGCACCGAAGCUGCGGCAGCGACGCUGAUGCGUUGUUGGGUAGGGGAGCGUUCUGUAAGCCUGCGAAGGUGGCCUGUGAGGGUUGCUGGAGGUAUCAGAAGUGCGAAUGCUGACAUAAGUAACGAUAAAGCGGGUGAAAAGCCCGCUCGCCGGAAGACCAAGGGUUCCUGUCCAACGUUAAUCGGGGCAGGGUGAGUCGACCCCUAAGGCGAGGCCGAAAGGCGUAGUCGAUGGGAAACGGGUUAAUAUUCCCGUACUUGGUGUUACUGCGAAGGGGGGACGGAGAAGGCUAUGUUGGCCGGGCGACGGUUGUCCCGGUUUAAGCGUGUAGGUGUGUGUUCCAGGUAAAUCCGGUUCACUUUAACACUGAGGCGUGAUGACGAGGCACUACGGUGCUGAAGCAACAAAUGCCCUGCUUCCAGGAAAAGCCUCUAAGCAUCAGGUAACAUCAAAUCGUACCCCAAACCGACACAGGUGGUCAGGUAGAGAAUACCAAGGCGCUUGAGAGAACUCGGGUGAAGGAACUAGGCAAAAUGGUGCCGUAACUUCGGGAGAAGGCACGCUGACACGUAGGUGAAGUGAUUUACUCAUGGAGCUGAAGUCAGUCGAAGAUACCAGCUGGCUGCAACUGUUUAUUAAAAACACAGCACUGUGCAAACACGAAAGUGGACGUAUACGGUGUGACGCCUGCCCGGUGCCGGAAGGUUAAUUGAUGGGGUCAGCGCAAGCGAAGCUCCUGAUCGAAGCCCCGGUAAACGGCGGCCGUAACUAUAACGGUCCUAAGGUAGCGAAAUUCCUUGUCGGGUAAGUUCCGACCUGCACGAAUGGCGUAAUGAUGGCCAGGCUGUCUCCACCCGAGACUCAGUGAAAUUGAACUCGCUGUGAAGAUGCAGUGUACCCGCGGCAAGACGGAAAGACCCCGUGAACCUUUACUAUAGCUUGACACUGAACAUUGAGCCUUGAUGUGUAGGAUAGGUGGGAGGCUUUGAAGUGUGGACGCCAGUCUGCAUGGAGCCGGCCUUGAAAUACCACCCUUUAAUGUUUGAUGUUCUAACGUGGACCCGUGAUCCGGGUUGCGGACAGUGUCUGGUGGGUAGUUUGACUGGGGCGGUCUCCUCCUAAAGAGUAACGGAGGAGCACGAAGGUUGGCUAAUCCUGGUCGGACAUCAGGAGGUUAGUGCAAUGGCAUAAGCCAGCUUGACUGCGAGCGUGACGGCGCGAGCAGGUGCGAAAGCAGGUCAUAGUGAUCCGGUGGUUCUGAAUGGAAGGGCCAUCGCUCAACGGAUAAAAGGUACUCCGGGGAUAACAGGCUGAUACCGCCCAAGAGUUCAUAUCGACGGCGGUGUUUGGCACCUCGAUGUCGGCUCAUCACAUCCUGGGGCUGAAGUAGGUCCCAAGGGUAUGGCUGUUCGCCAUUUAAAGUGGUACGCGAGCUGGGUUUAGAACGUCGUGAGACAGUUCGGUCCCUAUCUGCCGUGGGCGCUGGAGAACUGAGGGGGGCUGCUCCUAGUACGAGAGGACCGGAGUGGACGCAUCACUGGUGUUCGGGUUGUCAUGCCAAUGGCACUGCCCGGUAGCUAAAUGCGGAAGAGAUAAGUGCUGAAAGCAUCUAAGCACGAAACUUGCCCCGAGAUGAGUUCUCCCUGAGACUUAGAGUCUCCUGAAGGAACGUUGAAGACGACGACGUUGAUAGGCCGGGUGUGUAAGCGCAGCGAUGCGUUGAGCUAACCGGUACUAAUGAACCGUGAGGCUUAACCUUACA
This 2272-nucleotide ribosomal RNA is filed under the name Salmonella enterica subsp. enterica serovar Bredeney. Its description in RNAcentral is "partial 23S ribosomal RNA". It matches the Rfam family "Bacterial large subunit ribosomal RNA", at positions 681 to 2925 of the family's 2925-position model. The record is from RNAcentral. Lineage: Bacteria; Pseudomonadati; Pseudomonadota; Gammaproteobacteria; Enterobacterales; Enterobacteriaceae.